Triticum dicoccoides is the source of this 3423-nucleotide RNA transcript. RefSeq lists it as uncharacterized. The record is from RefSeq and is a predicted model, not a curated record. The transcript has 2 exons. Lineage: Eukaryota; Viridiplantae; Streptophyta; Magnoliopsida; Poales; Poaceae.
UCGCACCGGCGCCGUUCCCUCACCGCCGGCGCCACCGCGUCGCCGCCUACAGCAGUACACCAUGCUCCGCCUCCACAAAUGGAUCCUCACCGAACUGCUCCUUCCUUCCACCUCCGCCUACGCCAUCUCCCCUCUCCACCGCCUCAUCUCCGCCGCCGCGCCCGCCGUCUCCCCCAACCCUAGUAGCUUCGCCGUGGAGGACUACCUCGUCUCCUCCUGCGGCCUCACCCGACCACAGGCCGCCAAGGCCUCCGCCAGGCUCUCCCACCUCAAAUCCCCCGCCAAGCCCGACGCCGUCCUCUCCUUCCUCGCCGGCCUCGGCCUCUCCGGCGCCGAUGUCGCCGCCCUCGUCGCCAAGGACCCGCAGCUCCUCUGCGCCGGUGUGGAGAAAACCCUGGCCCCCAACGUCGCGGGGCUCACUGGCCUUGGUCUCUCGCGUUCUGAGAUCGCACGCCUCGUCUCGCUCUCCCGUAACAGCUUCCGCUACAGAUCCAUCGUCUCCAAGCUGCAGUACUACAUGCCUCUCUUUGGGUCCUUUGAGAACCUCCUCCGGGCCCUCAAGAGGAACUUCUACCUUCUCUCGUCUGACCUCGACGGCAUCGUCAAGCCCAAUGUCGCUUAUCUGCAGGAGUGCGGGCUAGGUGCUUGUGAUAUUGCCAAGCUAUGCAUCAGUCGACCAGGUCUGCUCACCACCAAUCCAGAGCGCUUGCAGGGCAUGGUGGCACGCGCCGAAAACAUAGGUGUGCCCUGUAGUUCUGGGAUGUUCAGCCACGCGCUGCAUGCUGUUGCAUGUUUCAGCAAAGAGGAGAUCGCAGCCAGGGUGGACUACUUGAAGAACACGUUCAUGUGGACAGAUGCUGAGGUGGGCAUUGCUGUUUCUAAGGCUCCAUUGAUACUGACAAGGUCCAAGGAAUCGCUGCAGCGCAGGUCUGAGUUCCUCAUCUCCAAGGUGGGGUUAGAACCGGCAUAUAUUGCUUGUCGUCCAGCAAUGCUCACGUAUAGCUUGGAGGGCCGGCUCAGACCCCGGUACUAUGUUGUCAAAUUUCUCAAGGAAAGUGGAUUGCUAGAUCAUGACCGGCACUACUUUGGUGCAGUCAUGAUCAGCGAGAAGGUAUUCGUCGAGAAGUUCAUAUGCCCUCAUAAGGAUGCUGCACCGCAUCUCGCUGAAGAUUAUGUAACAGCUUGCAGAGGGGAGGUUCCAGCUAGAUUCAGUUUUACAUGAACCAAGACUAAUAAGAAAAUUGGUAUGUUCAUUACGUCAUUCAGUAGAGAAGAAACCAUUGCACUGCUAUGAACUUGUCUUUGUCAUAUUGCAUCAGGGUAUUCUGCAAAUUCUUUGAAAUAGUAGUUUGUAUAUCAGUUUUUUUUUUGCCUCUUGUAGUUUUGGAUGACCUUCUGGGUGGUACUUUUCUAGGGGCAUCUGAUCUCGAAACUGAAUAGUUGAGUAUAUCGCCACAUAAACAGAUAUUUCUAACGCCCUGGUGUUUUUGCUGGAGAAGCAAAUUGACGCUUGUAUGGUAAUGCUAUGGUGCUGAAAAACAGAGGGCAUUUCAUACAAUAAGGGAAGUUAUGUUAUGGUAACCUUGAAAAGGGUUAUGACACUACCAUGUUAAUUUCUGCUAUAUCUUUUAGCUAUUUAUUCCAUAAAAGCACUAUCCAUAAUUCCAUAUAGAUUGUGAGGGCAGCUUUAUCACUUAGCAUAUUUGUUUAGGAUAGUAAAGUGGGUCUUAUGUACCAUCACUUUUGCAAAUUUCUAUCUGGAAAGUUGGAAUAGGAAAGGAACAAUGCCGGAUGGGAUGCCAUGUAGUCUGGAAUUUUGCAGAAUUUCAGACAUAGGAAUUACUAGGUACCUCAGUCUACAAACCAACCUGUGUGAGGAUGGUGCACAUUUUGUUUGUUCCUGAUGUGAGGCUGUAGAAGUUGUAGGAAAUGAGAUCUCAGGUGUGUGCUUGCAUUUACAGAUCAGCUCUCUGUCGCCCUUCUCUGGUGCUUGUUGAAAUUAUAGAAUCAAGAUUAAUGAAAUGUAGGCGAAGUGAACAGGUUGGCUGAUGAAGUGACUUACCACCAGAUGUGCUGAAACUGGAUGUAGACGGUGCUUUCUUCCUCUUCCAGGAGACGAUGCGAGACAUGUCGGCAAUGGCUUUGGUGCACUAUACAUGAUUCUGAAGGCUCUGUAAGUUGAUGAUGCCCUGAAGAUUCAGUGACAAGUAUGGCCUGAUGCUGGCGUAAGUUUUAUUCAGGGAAGCUCCUACUUAUCUCUUUUUUGAACUUUUAAGUUAAAGUAAACCUUCUAGUGUUAUACUAGAGAUUGUAACAUGGUGGCUGAUGAGUUACUGUCGCAUGCCUGUCGGAUUCAUCAGCUCAGCUGAGUGAGGCAAACUGAACAAAAUAGCAAGUCGAAUAAAGUAACAGCAUCUUGUGCUUUAAUCAAUUCAUACUUGGAGCUCCGUGCGCUUAUAUUUGAAAAAAAAUGAACGAAUCAUGCAUGAAUGUAAACAGAAAGCGUGAUGUAAAUUUUCUACUCUGAAUUCUGAAUUUGAAUCAGAGUUGAUUGUUAACUCUAAAUCUUUCAGACUUCAUGGGUUACACCCAAGUAAGUGUGAAGCUAUAGUACAUGUUUAAAAAUCAUAACUUGAAUUAGAGCAGAAAGUUAACAGCAAUCUUAUAACAAAGUUUUUUUUUACUGUACUUUUUCCUCCAACACGGCAUUUUCUAUUAUCACAGCGGCAUCUCUAUGACACUUGUUCUUAAGUUUUCCUAACAUUGGGACUGGGGUUAACUAAUUAUGUUGAAAAAUCAUUUUCUCAUCUUAAAAAACAUCAAUGAUUAGAGGAUUCUGAGCAAAAAGCUAUUCUGUAGUUUUCAUAAAUGUCCAAUUCAGUCUAUUAAAAUGGGCAUAUUUUCAUACAGGUUCAGCAAAACAGAAAUGUCAUUUUUAUAGUGCGAAUAAAAUUGUUUUACCCUAUAAUUUAAAGUGUGCAUUUUUAGUAUCUAAUGUACUGAAGGCAUGUGAUGAAUACCAAUUGGAAAUGGUAGCUGAUUGCAUCGUUCUUAUUUCUGGAAUUUCUUUCUCCAAUAUUUUCUCUAAAUGUUGGUUGUGCAGAUCUGACACGGAAAAUGAGAGGAACAAUUUAGGGUGACAUAUUGGUGAGGAAGAAGGACUGAUUUCUUUUCUGUCUCGCUUCUGAACACUAUAUGGUCCUACUUAUUGUUGCAUGGUUAACAAUGCAAAGCACCAGUGGAGUUACAUGUAUAGUGCAAAUGCGAGACAAUAGAACGAAUCUGAAGUUUUUCAUCUCUAUUCCAUAGAGACAAUUGUUAUAAUUUUCGGGGUCAAAACAGGAGCUGUAUUUUAUCAUCAACUGUCAGCACCGUGCCUUCAUCAUGUAUUAAGUUUACUAGUGGCCAAGUGUUUUUUCUUUA